CAGGCCUACACAUGCAAGUCAAGGAGAAAGUAGUCUUCGGAUUAUAAGUAAACUGGGGACGGGUGAGUAACGCGUAGGCAACCUGCCCUUGUGUUUGGGAUAACUCGAGAAAUCGGGGCUAAUACCGAAUGAAGUUAUUUAAUCGCAUGAUUAGUGAUUAAAGGUGUCGUAAGUUAUCGCACAGGGAUGGGCCUGCGUUCCAUAGCUAGUUGGUAAGGUAACGGCUUACCAAGGCUGCGAUGGAUAGCUGAUUGAGAGGGUGAUCAGCCACACUGGGACUGAGAUACGGCCCAGACUCCUAGGGAGGCAGCAGUGAGGAAUAUUGCGCAAUGGAGGAAACUCUGACGCAGAACGCCGCGUGGGGGAUGAAGCACUAUGGUGUGUAAACCUCUGUAGGUUGGAAGAACGGCAUAUAUUCGUAAGGAUAUGUGUUGACGGUACCAUCAAGUAAGCUCCGGCUAACUCCGUGCCAGCAGCCGCGG
This 482-nucleotide ribosomal RNA is filed under the name uncultured bacterium. RNAcentral describes it as "bacterial SSU rRNA". It matches the Rfam family "Bacterial small subunit ribosomal RNA", at positions 43 to 520 of the family's 1533-position model. The record is from RNAcentral.